Nothobranchius furzeri (turquoise killifish) is the source of this 2131-nucleotide non-coding RNA. The record is from RefSeq and is a predicted model, not a curated record. NCBI's taxonomy places the organism in Eukaryota, Metazoa, Chordata, Actinopteri, Cyprinodontiformes, Nothobranchiidae.
CAUCAAACCUGCUCAAUGGUCAACUUUCCUUGUGGGGUCACCCAUAAAGACAGUGGGAGGGUUAAUGAAGCUCCCCCAUUGGAACAGUAAAAUGCUGCUGUUUGCUUCAUGUCUAAAUGCUUACGUCAUACGUGUAACGCUACUCUUUAGCCACACCCACGUAGAUGAUGACAAGUAUUGUCCUGUUAGGUGAGAUGAUUGAUGAGUAAAAGGUCCGUGUACAUGACGGCCAUCCGAUUUUCCUUUGGAAAUAAAAAAACAAAAAAAGGGAAACGAGCCGUUUUGCCGAUCACCAAUCAAAAAACAAAAGAAUGUAAACGAAAGUCAACUCGUUUUUUGUUUUUCUAUUUUCAACAUAAAAAAGGAAAACGGAAAACAAACUUUUUUUUGUUUUUCGAUUGUGUAUUUCAAGAUGAAACGUUUAAAUCAGAAAAUAAGGGGAAAUAGUUCAUUUUCUGCCUUAAAUUUACCUUUUUCGCUGUGACCCGGAAGUUUACCUGCAAAAAUACAAGCGAAGAAGAAAAUCAGAAGUUUACUGCAAAAACACGAGAAGGAAUUACGUUAGCGGCUAUCAAAAGACCGGUUUAUAUUUGGAUCAUAUGUGCGCGACAGAAUGGACGUAGAAACUUUUGUUCUCUUUCAUGGAGGAAAACGAGUCACCAUGAGUGGCGGUGACAUGUCAGUGGACAAGAUAUGCAGGAUUUUCCAGGUAUUCAAACUUUGAAACUGUUAAAGUUUUGAGUAAUUAACAUGCACCACAACAUCCUAACUACGAUUGGCUAGCUAAACAUACACUUUAGCUAGUAAUGUGUGUUUUAAUCGUCUUCAGUAGACAUUACUCAGUGCAGUAAAAAUUGUAUACACGAAUAUUUCAUUGUAUUUUAUCACAUUUACUCAAAAUGUAUAAAUUUGUUCUAAAGUUACAUGUUGUAUGUGGAUACGUUUUCUUAACGUCUUUGUUUAUUCUGUUAAAUUUGGCAGGUCACUGGAAAUAGCCUGUACAUUACUGAUGACAUGAAUACAGCAAUAUUUCCAGAUCCUUCUGGAAAUUUCACCACCCUCAGUCUCCAACAUCUGGGUCAUUAUGAGGUUCAUGGAGAUUCAGAACAAGUUCAAAGCCCUCCAAUCAGAGCCCUUCCCUCUGCUGCUCCCUUUGCCUUUAUGCGCAGAGCCUCGGCUUCUGCAUCCACCGAAACACAUGCUUCUGCAACUUCUCGAUCUAAUUUUCCACCCAGACAGUUCCAAAGGUAUUUUUUUCCAAAAAUAUAAAUAAAAGGAACUUUUGUUUUGGAAAAAAUGUUUAAGUAAUUUUAACUGUAGUUAUAUCUUUCUCCUAGGUCAGUGCAUAUUGCAGAAAUUGUCAACGACAAACUAACAGCUGCCAGGACAGUGGUCAUUCGCUUCUUGGAAUCUGAUGCAACAGUUGAAAGAAUGACUGUUAAGGUGAAGGAGGCUUUGGGCUGUGUUGAGGAGAUUACAUUGACAGGCAGCCAAGGAAAUGAAAUUGUGGACUCAGGGGGUACAAGAAGUGAGUUGUUAUCAUUUGUCAUUUAGUAUUGGUUAGAUGUGAAUACCUGUUUUGCAGAUGUCAAAUUAGUCUUUCCAUUCCCAAAGGCUCCAGUUACUGGAAGCAAAACUCCAGAAAAAUCUAUGCCAUCUUUGAGGAUGAUUUUGUGGAGUUUCAAAAUGGUCGAAGACAGAAAACCAGGCGAAGGUCUGAAGAAACUGGGAUCCUUCAAGAGGUUAUUGGAAAAAUUGAUCAGCUUAAGCAAGCUACUGAGACCCUCCAAAAUGUCACUGAAGCAAUAAACCUGCUGUCUGACCUUGCAAAAGUUAAAAGCACAACAGCACGACAAGAUGAGCAACUGCACCUUGUCAUGGAUGCCUUCUGCUGUCAUGUUUGCAAAAGUCUGAUGUCCAAGCCGAUGUUUUCCACAUGCUGUCAGUCUCUACUGGGAUGCCAAACGUGUGUGGAGCAGUGGCUGUUGAACACAAACUACUGUCUGAAAUGCAGAGCAGAAGACUUUGAGUUCAAGGUACAUGAGGUCAAAGGUCUUAGUGCCGUUUUAGCCUUUUUCAAAGAGGUGCACACAGAAUAGUCACUGAUGGAACAGUCAUUCAUUUUCUCAGG